This 1778-nucleotide long non-coding RNA is filed under the name Solanum tuberosum (potato). RNAcentral describes it as "long non-coding RNA (STUB_LNC001303)". Lineage: Eukaryota; Viridiplantae; Streptophyta; Magnoliopsida; Solanales; Solanaceae. The record is from RNAcentral.
UUAUGUUCGAUAUUCAAACGGUCAUGUGAGAUUCGUUUUUUAUUACUGCAUAAGUUCAACUGUUCCUACUUGAUUUUUCAAAAUUCUCGAGUAUUUGGUGUAAUAUGAGAUUCAUAUGAAAGGUAUUUUCUUCUAUUGUAUGAAAGAAACUCAUAUGAGAAUCUUUUGAGUACUUAAAGUAAUAUGAAAUUCAUCUUAAAGAUGUGCUUUGUGAUAUCAUGUAUUCGUAUCCAAGAUUUGAUGCUUCAUCUGCUUCUUUAGUUUAGUAAGAAUUAUUUCAUGCUAUUGCAUGAAACAUUUGACUGGUCUCCUACUGCUCUACGCUAGCUCGAAAGGUAUGGCUACUCUCUUCUUUCCUGCUGAACAUCAUCAAGAAUUUCCCCCUUCUUCUGCUUCACCCGGAAGAUUCUCAAUACAGGCUUAACAACCAUCCCUGCUUACAUUUUAAGAAAAGUUUAAUAGUGACCGUCAAGCUUCACUAAUAGAUAUGGUUCUCCUAUAAGGAGCAUGCUUGCCCUAUGUUUAUUGGUGUGCUAAGUCAUGUAACUUAAUGUUGAAACUUAGCGUACAAGAUAUAGCUUAAAUCUCAUAAAUUUAAUAGGCAGAGCAUAUUAGUCACUUGAUAUAAUUCAACGUUCCUGAAUCAAUUUUAUAUUUCUCAGUGAUUAUUUUUUAUACAGAUGACUUCAAGCUAACAUGAUUACUGAUUUCUCUCUAGGUUGAUGAUAAUCCUUCUUUGACAAAUGCUUCCAAGAUGUAGCAUCUAUUAUUGCGAGAGUUGGUCUUGGGGCUCACUGCAUUAGCAUAGGAAGUGUCCGACAUGUUUGAGCAAGCUGUUGGCAGAAAAUACACUGCGAGGAUAUUACUAACAUUGAAGAGUUCUCUCGCCAUUUUGGAGCUGUUGAUUUGAGGUAAAAAGAUGGACAGAAAAGGUGCUUAUGGCUGAAAUGAGAUAGGUUACUAUUAAAAAAAAUUACAGCCUACAAAUUUCUAUGUCUAUUAAUUAGUUUAGAAUUGUAUCUAUGUCUCAGGAUACCUGAUAAAGAGAGAACACUAACAGAGGCUUGAGCACUUACCAUCUGAUCUGAUCCUACUAAGCAAAAGUAAUCACUUGGAAUAUUUAGAACUGGCAAGAAGAAGACGCACUUCUUAUUCUCAUAUUUACGCGUGACAUUGUUACUCAACAAGAAAUACUUGAAAAUUGUAGUUAAUAGAUGGUGCUAUCAUAUUAGAAAGUAUUUGUUUUGUAAUCUAUAGCAAGAAAAUCAUCUGAGUUCAGUAAGUAAGGGGGAUUUGCCAAAGUGUCCUCUCUUUUAUGUAAGGCAUCAUUUUUCUUCCUGAUUUUACAGAUGAACUUACAAAAGGGAAGAGAUUUUCAGUUCUUGGUUUCCAUGGAGAACUUUUCCAUCAUAAUUUAAUUUUGACUAUGCCUAUUUAAGCUUCUUCUAGAAUUGCUAUGUUUUAUUUUCAAAUUGGAUUUUAACAUGCAUGAUUCCAAAAAAAAAUAAUGUGCAGGUACUGGUCACGUUUGUUAUGGCAUUUUGGUUGCUGAUCGUAAUGGUUGCAUGGCUACUAUGACCAACUUGAAGAGAAUUACCACAUGAACAUAUGUUGUUGAGAUUUGUGUAAUACACAAAGCAAAUGCUUUUGCUUUCUCACAUAUAUGCAAUAUUAUCAACUUCUUCAUUGCAAUGACAUUGUACCACCCACUCACUAAUGUGAGAAAAUGUCUCUUAUAUAUUAUCCUAUUUUUUGUGAAAAUGAUACUCCUUUCAUGU